RNAcentral lists this unclassified non-coding RNA (240 nucleotides) under soil metagenome. Its description in RNAcentral is "partial contains 5.8S ribosomal RNA, internal transcribed spacer 2, and large subunit ribosomal RNA". The record is from RNAcentral.
AACGCACGAGACCUGCGGACCUGCGGAAGGAUCAUUAACGAGUUAGGGUCUUCCAGGCCCGACCUCCCAACCCAAUGUUUACUACACCGUUUGUUGCUUCGGCGAGCCCGUCUUCACGGACCGCCGGGGGACCGUCAUAGGUCUCCUGGCCCGCGCCCGUCGGUAGCCUCUUAAAACUCUUUAACCAAACAUGUUUUGACUAAGUACCAAUUGUUAAUUAAAAACAAAACUUUCAACAAU